This 253-nucleotide ribosomal RNA is filed under the name uncultured bacterium. Its description in RNAcentral is "partial 16S ribosomal RNA". It matches the Rfam family "Bacterial small subunit ribosomal RNA", at positions 524 to 776 of the family's 1533-position model. The record is from RNAcentral.
UACGAAGGGUGCAAGCGUUAUUCGGAGUCAUUGGGCGUAAAGCGCGCGCAGGCGGAUUAAUAAGUCAGGUGUGAAAUCUCGAGGCUCAACCUCGAAACUGCGCCUGAAACUAUUAGUCUAGAGUGUCGGAGGGGGCAGGGGAAUUUCACGUGUAGGGGUAAAAUCCGUAGAGAUGUGAAGGAACACCGGAGGCGAAGGCGCCUGCCUGGACGACUACUGACGCUGAGGCGCGAAAGCGUGGGGAGCAAACAGG